AUUGAACGCUGGCGGCAUGCCUUACACAUGCAAGUCGAACGGCAGCAUGGAGAGCUUGCUCUCUGAUGGCGAGUGGCGAACGGGUGAGUAAAGCAUCGGAACGUACCGUGUAGUGGGGGAUAACGUAGCGAAAGUUACGCUAAUACCGCAUACGCACUGAGGUGGAAAGCAGGGGAUCGUAAGACCUUGCGCUAUACGAGCGGCCGAUGUCAGAUUUGCUAGUUGGUAGGGUAAAGGCCUACCAAGGCGACGAUCUGUAGCGGGUCUGAGAGGAUGAUCCGCCACACUGGGACUGAGACACAGCCCAGACUCCUACUGGAGGCAGCAGUGGGGAAUUUUGGACAAUGGGAGCAACCCUGAUCCAGCCAUGCCGAGGGAGUGAAGAAGGCCUUCGGGUUGUAAAGCUCUUUCGGCCGGGAAGAAAUCGCACAGGCUAAUACCCUGUGUGGAUGACGGUACCGGCAUAAGAAGCACCGGCUAACUACGUGCCAGCCGCCGCAGUAA
RNAcentral lists this ribosomal RNA (504 nucleotides) under uncultured bacterium. Its description in RNAcentral is "partial 16S ribosomal RNA". It matches the Rfam family "Bacterial small subunit ribosomal RNA", at positions 30 to 523 of the family's 1533-position model. The record is from RNAcentral.